UGGGCAACCCUGAUCCAGCAAUGCCCCGUGUGUGAAAAANGCCUUCNNGUUGUAAAGCACUUUUGUCCGCAUAGAAAUGUCCUGGGGUAAUACCCCCGGUCNAUAACAGUACCGNAAUAAUAAGCACCGGCUAACUACAUGCCAUCACCCGCGGUAAUACAUAUGGUGCGAGCGUUAAUCGGAAUUACUGGGCGUAAAGCGUGUGCACGCGGUUUGAUAAGACACG
Molecule: ribosomal RNA, 226 nt
Filed under: Cupriavidus taiwanensis
Lineage: Bacteria; Pseudomonadati; Pseudomonadota; Betaproteobacteria; Burkholderiales; Burkholderiaceae
Description: partial 16S ribosomal RNA
Rfam family: Bacterial small subunit ribosomal RNA
Source: RNAcentral